Fulvivirga imtechensis AK7 is the source of this 36-nucleotide regulatory RNA element. It matches the Rfam family "DUF805b RNA". From Rfam's summary of the family: Bacteroidetes, Chlorobi (1 example), Proteobacteria. Lineage (Flavobacteria) The record is from Rfam. Lineage: Bacteria; Pseudomonadati; Bacteroidota; Cytophagia; Cytophagales; Fulvivirgaceae.
UAGGCGGAAACCGAAAAGCCUCAAAUAGAGUAGGUA